This 76-nucleotide transfer RNA is filed under the name Alcaligenaceae bacterium. RNAcentral describes it as "tRNA-Lys". It matches the Rfam family "tRNA". From Rfam's summary of the family: Transfer RNA (tRNA) molecules are approximately 80 nucleotides in length. Their secondary structure includes four short double-helical elements and three loops (D, anti-codon, and T loops). Lineage: Bacteria; Pseudomonadati; Pseudomonadota; Betaproteobacteria; Burkholderiales; Alcaligenaceae. The record is from RNAcentral.
GGGCUGGUAGCUCAGUCGGUAGAGAAGCGGACUUUUAAUCCGUUGGUCGCGGGUUCGAAUCCCGCCCAGCCCACCA